Molecule: ribosomal RNA, 510 nt
Filed under: uncultured bacterium
Lineage: Bacteria
Description: partial 16S ribosomal RNA
Rfam family: Bacterial small subunit ribosomal RNA
Source: RNAcentral
GACGAACGCUGGCGGCGUGCUUAACACAUGCAAGUCGAACGAAGAGCGAUGGAAGCUUGCUUCUAUCACUCUUAGUGGCGAACGGGUGAGUAACGCGUAAUCAACCUGCCCUUCAGAGGGGGACAACAGUUGGAAACGACUGCUAAUACCGCAUACGAUCUAAUCUCGGCAUCGAGGAAAGAUGAAAGGUGGCCUCUAUUUAUAAGCUAUCACUGAAGGUGGGGAUUGCGUCUGAUUAGCUAGUUGGAGGGGUAACGGCCCACCAAGGCGAUGAUCAGUAGCCGGUCUGAGAGGAUGAACGGCCACAUUGGGACUGAGACACGGCCCAGACUCCUACGGGAGGCAGCAGUGGGGAAUCUUCCGCAAUAGACGAAAGUCUGACGGAGCAACGCCGCGGGAGUGAUGACGGCCGUCGGGUUGUAAAGCUCUGUUAAUCGGGACGAAAGGCCUUCUUGCGAACAGUUAGAAGGAUUGACGGUACCGGAAUAGAAAGCCACGGCUAACUACGUG